AAAAAAAAAAAAAAAAAGGCUCUGUAUGCCAGCUACGAAAUAGAAAAACAUAAAGAGAAAACAGAAUCUUUAUUGCAAUUCAACAGUGUUAUGGGUGCGACAAUGAGUAACCCAAAUGAGAAACUGCGAGAAUUAAAAGAACCCAUUCCAGGUUAUCAAGUAACAUGCUUACCUUUCUUGUUUUUUUGGCUUUCUUUUGAGCCCAAAUCAGCAUGGGCAUUCUUCUGUCUGGCAACUUGGAGAUUUCACCGGAGUGUCUACCAAAGCUGUGAAG
RNAcentral lists this unclassified non-coding RNA (274 nucleotides) under Hevea brasiliensis (rubber tree). Lineage: Eukaryota; Viridiplantae; Streptophyta; Magnoliopsida; Malpighiales; Euphorbiaceae. The record is from RNAcentral.